UUUUGAAAAGAGAGUAAAAUAGUACCUGAAACUGCUGAAAGGGAAGCGAUUGAAGUCAGUGUUGCUCCUGG
Molecule: ribosomal RNA, 71 nt
Filed under: Prorocentrum micans
Lineage: Eukaryota; Dinophyceae; Prorocentrales; Prorocentraceae
Description: partial Eukaryotic large subunit ribosomal RNA
Source: RNAcentral